This 492-nucleotide ribosomal RNA is filed under the name uncultured bacterium. RNAcentral describes it as "partial 16S ribosomal RNA". It matches the Rfam family "Bacterial small subunit ribosomal RNA", at positions 29 to 507 of the family's 1533-position model. The record is from RNAcentral.
AGUGAACGCUGGCGGUAGGCCUAACACAUGCAAGUCGAACGGCAGCACAGUAAGAGCUUGCUCUUACGGGUGGCGAGUGGCGGACGGGUGAGGAAUACAUCGGAAUCUACUUUUUCGUGGGGGAUAACGUAGGGAAACUUACGCUAAUACCGCAUACGACCUACGGGUGAAAGCAGGGGAUCUUCGGACCUUGCGCGAUUGAAUGAGCCGAUGUCGGAUUAGCUAGUUGGCGGGGUAAAGGCCCACCAAGGCGACGAUCCGUAGCUGGUCUGAGAGGAUGAUCAGCCACACUGGAACUGAGACACGGUCCAGACUCCUACGGGAGGCAGCAGUGGGGAAUAUUGGACAAUGGGCGAAAGCCUGAUCCAGCCAUACCGCGUGGGUGAAGAAGGCCUUCGGGUUGUAAAGCCCUUUUGUUGGGAAAGAAAGGCAGCAGGUGAAUACCCCGCUGUUCUGACGGUACCCAAAGAAUAAGCACCGGCUAACUUCGUG